This 490-nucleotide ribosomal RNA is filed under the name uncultured bacterium. Its description in RNAcentral is "partial 16S ribosomal RNA". It matches the Rfam family "Bacterial small subunit ribosomal RNA", at positions 29 to 507 of the family's 1533-position model. The record is from RNAcentral.
AUGAACGCUGUCUACAGGCUUCACACAUGCAAGUCGAGGGGAAACGACGGGGAAGCUUGCUUCCCCGGGCGUCGACCGGCGCACGGGUGAGUAACGCGUAUCCAACCUGCCUCUGACUGAGGGAUAACCCGUCGAAAGUCGGCCUAAUACCUCAUGGCAUCGUCUGCGGGCAUCCAACGACGAUUAAAGAUUUCAUCGGUCAGGGAUGGGGAUGCGUCUGAUUAGCUUGUUGGCGGGGUAACGGCCCACCAAGGCUACGAUCAGUAGGGGUUCUGAGAGGAAGGUCCCCCACAUUGGAACUGAGACACGGUCCAAACUCCUACGGGAGGCAGCAGUGAGGAAUAUUGGUCAAUGGGCGGGAGCCUGAACCAGCCAAGUAGCGUGCAGGAUGACGGCCCUAUGGGUUGUAAACUGCUUUUAUGCGGGGAUAAAGUGAGGGACGUGUCCUUCAUUGCAGGUACCGCAUGAAUAAGGACCGGCUAAUUCCGUG